CUUUUCAUGCUUCCCAAAAAUCUUUUGAAAGCUUCCUCAAGGCAAAAUCUUUCCAAAACACUUCAAAGCUUUCUCUUCAAACCAAAGCUUGAACUAACACAAGGAAAGUUUCAUUAGGGUGGGGUGUGCCACCCUAGGUGGUACUUCAUGGGCCCCACCCACAUGCAAUGGUAGGCCCAUUAACAUAUUGGGCCUCCCAUGCAAUAUUAAAAUUAAUUAUAUGAUUUUUAGAAAUCCAUAAAAUGAAAUUUGAAUAUUUAAAUCAAUCUAAAAUCAAUAUCUCUGUAUUUAUAAAUCCAAAUUUGAUAAAUAAAAUAUCCAGAGAUCUAAAAAAAUUCAAAUAAUAAUUCUAAAAAUCAGAUAUCAUUAAAACAAACAUAAUUAAAUUUAUUAGAUGGGAAAAAGAUCCAUAUAGUCUAGGAAUUAAAUAAAUAAAUGUUGGGGCACUCCACCUUCAACUGUGGACUACGAUCCACACUUGCUUUAUCAAAACGACCCAGUGUUUCCUAUGACCCACUUGUCCAUGUAGAGGCUCAUUAGUGGGUCACCAAAGUCUGACCAAUGAGUCAAGGGGUUGUAAUAUCAAUUUAUGGAUUUCAAGUUUUCCCCUAGAGACGUACGAAGGGCACCUAGACCCGAUGUAACCACAGCUCCUAUGACGCAUAAGGGUAUCUCUCGCACAUGCAUAAGCUUCGUCCUAAAAGGUGGUUCGCUUUCCUGAAACGACUAUCAUUAUGCAUGCCGUGUGAUGGCUCGCUGAUGAGCCUUUGACCCCCAUCUUUGAAGGCCACCAUCACACACAAGGGUCACAUAGUCCGUAGGCUCAUUCAUCCGGGCAUACUCCGACCUCAUCAAGGGAUGAUCAAUUAGAACUCUUAUCGGAUAGUUUUCUAUGCCCAGGUAACAUAAGUUUUUCCCAACCGACUGGCCUAGCUCGUCAAGCUCAGUCCGGUAUCAGCAAGCAUCGUUUGCUUAGUAUGGUCCACGAGGGACCACACUCUCACUGAGUUCAUGUUCCAUUCUAUCAUUUCAUUUUACAAGCACUCAUAAGGCCUUUAAUAGCCACACUCACCCAACACUUCUUCCAAGAACUAUACAAAUAAAAGAGAAAAGCCAUCUUUUAAGUGUUUUUCAGCAGCAUUCAAUGGAGAGGGUAUUCAUGAUGCUCUCUCGUAAGUAUCAGUUGCUUAUGUGUGGGGUUUUUAACUUUCUGCUAUUCUCAACUUUUGGAAUGAAUAAUAUCCACUACUAUCACUGCUAGUCUUUUGAUGUAUUUGAUAAAGAUCAUCACCAUUCUUGUUCUCAAGAUUGACAUCAUUCAACAAUAAAUUCAUUUUAGUUUUCUUCAUUAUUUGGGAGUAAUUUUUUAUUUUACAAGUCUUAAAUUCUUUGUCUGGAACUCGUUAUCAUAGGUGAAGGAUAUUGCUCUAUCAUUCCUGAUGCACCUGAAGCAGAAUCCCAUCCUCCUACUAAAAUUUUAGCUGAGACAAUUGCUGACUAUGUUGAGCAGUAUCUGGAAGCAAUGGAGAAGGUUAUUGUCUUAAAUCAUGGGCUAAUAAUAAUAAUAUAAUACUAAUAAUAUACUAGUAAUAAUAAUAUAAUAAUAAUAAUAGUGAAAGUAAUAUUAACAGUAACAGUAACAACAACAACAACAACAUGAAUAGUAAUAGAAGUAGUAGGAGUAAUAGUAAAAGUAGUAGUAGUACUAGUAGCAGCAAGAGUAGCAGCAACAGCAGUAGUAGAUAAUAAUAAUAAUAAUAAUGAUGAUGAUGAUGAUGAUGUAAUAAUAAUAAUAAUAAUAAUAGUAAAAGUAAUAUUAACAGUUAUAGUAACAACAACAGCAACAAGAAUAGUAAUAGUAGUAGUACGAGUAGUAGUAAAAGUAGUAGUAGUACUAGUAGCAAUAGGAGUAGCAGUAGCAGCAACAACAGCAGUAGUAGAUAAUAAUAAUAAUAAUAAUAAUAAUAGUAUGUUGCUAUUACGAGCUUGAGUUGUACAUUAGAUUAUGGGGCAAUUUGGGUUACUGAGGCUUCUCUUCGUUCACAUAUAAUUUGUGUUUCUAUGAUCAGGUUAAGCUUAAACAAGGAUUGAAAAUUGCAAUGAGCAUUUCUAGUAAGGGAAAUGCAUAUCUACAAGUACGUAUAUAUUUACCUUUAUUGUACUGAACAUUUCAAUUUGUUCCCUUGACUAGUUCACACCCGCAAUAAAUGGGUGUGUUUGUGCGCAAGCAUGUUUGUGUUAGAGAGAGAGAGAGAGAGAGAGAGAGAGAGAGAGAGA
Molecule: long non-coding RNA, 2277 nt
Filed under: Amborella trichopoda
Lineage: Eukaryota; Viridiplantae; Streptophyta; Magnoliopsida; Amborellales; Amborellaceae
Description: long non-coding RNA (ATRI_LNC000542)
Source: RNAcentral